Long non-coding RNA from Alnus glutinosa, 1296 nucleotides. RefSeq lists it as uncharacterized. The transcript has 2 exons. The record is from RefSeq and is a predicted model, not a curated record. NCBI's taxonomy places the organism in Eukaryota, Viridiplantae, Streptophyta, Magnoliopsida, Fagales, Betulaceae.
ACCUGAAAAAUAAUGCAAGAUGUAAUGGCGGGAUUUCUGAAAUUUUCGCGAAAUAUUUUUACCCGCCCCCUCUUCCUUUAGCUUCUGCACCAAUUUUAUUUUUUUUAUUAUCCCGCCCCCUCUUCCUCCCAUUCUCUCUUUCUCAAUCCAUCCUUUUGCCCUGAUUCUCUCUCUCUCAACUAGUGUUCUCCCCUGGCUUCCUUCUUUUCGUUCUUUUCUUUUUUUCCACCGAGAGACCGAGAGAGGGAGAUCGGAGAGGGAGGCCGAGAGAGCUGAAGAGAGAGCUAGAGAGAACCUGAGAUAGACGCGAGGUGGGCUAGCCACCGUUGGGGGUGGACAACGACGCCGGAGGCCGGUGGGUCACGGCCCGACGCCGGUAAAGCCAGGGGACGUCUUUUUCCGGCAUUUUCUCGGCACCCAAACAUGGAGAAAUUCAUUUUUCGAUGCAAAACCAUGUCUUUUACAAAAUCCUUUUGGGCUGCAUGACUAUGAGGCAGAAUAUGAUUUUUAUCGAGAUGUGGUUGAGAAGCCGUCGGAAAUACCCUUCAUUUCUGGGAGUAACAACAAUGCCCAAACUCCCUCUUUGUGUGAAUCUACAAGGAGGCUACUGUUCACGGGCUGAAAAACGACGAUCGGAUGCUCAGAAUCUGAUCUCCACCGUUCACAACGAAGAUUCACGUGUCAUGAACAUCCACACAAAAUUUCAGCUCAAUCGGACCACAAAUGCUCGUUGAUCGGAGCACUUGAUGAAAUCUGGACAGAGUUUCCAGAAACUCACGGCAGCCUUCUUCUCUUCUUCUUUUUUCUGAUUUUCUCCUCUGUCUCUCUCUCUCUCUCUCUGAUUUUUGGACGAAGCUCUCCCCACUAAAAACUCUCUGAUUUCUUUUCUCCCUCUCACAGCUGUAAAGCCAGCCACCUAACUUUCUUUUUCUUUCUUUCUCUUGCCUCUUGCAAGUCAAGAGAGGCAAGUGGGUUGGUUCCCACAUAGGAGGGACCACCCAACAAAUAUACCAAUGAUUUUUCUGUCUGUUGAAAUUUGUUGAUUUGAUUGUCAGGUUUGAAUUGUUGUAUUUUAUGUUGGAAAAGCAGUUCUUCCCCCAAUGAGAAAAACAGAGGGGCACAAUUUGUUGAACAUCUCUGUUUCAUAUCCUGACCCUGUACUAUCAAAGGUAGUUUUGGGGUGAUACUAUAAAUGUAAAACUGGAAUCCAGGAAUAUGAUUCAAGUUUCGGAUUCACAUAAAUUCUUCAACUUUUCAUAUACAAAAGUUACAUCAAUCCACUUGUCUACGACUCUA